GGUGGAAGAGGUUGCAUUAAAGGCAAGUUUGGCCCUUGGGGACAGAGGGCGUGGAGAUUCCGGAGACAUCUGGAGGGUGAAGGGCCAGGCACAGAUGAGCACAAGACCCUGCAAAA
Athene cunicularia (burrowing owl) is the source of this 116-nucleotide long non-coding RNA. RefSeq lists it as uncharacterized. The transcript is spliced from 3 exons. NCBI's taxonomy places the organism in Eukaryota, Metazoa, Chordata, Aves, Strigiformes, Strigidae. The record is from RefSeq and is a predicted model, not a curated record.